This 642-nucleotide ribosomal RNA is filed under the name Actinomucor elegans. RNAcentral describes it as "LSU rRNA". It matches the Rfam family "Eukaryotic large subunit ribosomal RNA", at positions 87 to 631 of the family's 3401-position model. Lineage: Eukaryota; Fungi; Mucoromycota; Mucoromycetes; Mucorales; Mucoraceae. The record is from RNAcentral.
CGGCGAGUGAAGAGGAAAGAGCUCAAAGUUGGAACCUGCUUGGCUUAGCCAAGCCGGAUUGUAAACUGUAGAAGUGUUUUCCUGACACGCCAGGCAAAAAAGUCCUUUGGAACAGGGCAUCAUAGAGGGUGAGAAUCCCGUCUUUGGCCUGAGCAGUUGUCUUUUGCGAUACACUUUCAAAGAGUCAGGUUGUUUGGGAAUGCAGCCUAAAUUGGGUGGUAAAUCUCACCUAAAGCUAAAUAUUGGCGAGAGACCGAUAGCGAACAAGUACCGUGAGGGAAAGAUGAAAAGAACUUUGAAAAGAGAGUUAAACAGUAUGUGAAAUUGUUAAAAGGGAACCGUUUGGAGCCAGACUGGCUUGGCUGUAAUCAAUCUGGGCUUUUGCCCGGAUGCACUUGCGGCCUAUGCCUGCCAACGACAGUUUUAUUUGGGGGAAAAAACCAGGAGGAAUGUGGCCCCUUUGCGGGGGUGUUAUAGCCUCUUGGAAAAUACCCUGGAUUGGACUGAGGAUCGCAGCGAAUGCCUUUAGGCGAGAUUGCGGYGUGCUUUUGCUGAUAAAUGCUAGAAUUUCUGCUUCGGGUGGUGCUAGUGUUUAAAGGUGGAACUCGCGCUGUAUAUUUUUAUUCGCUUAGGUUGUUGGCU